GACGAACGCUGGCGGCGUGCCUAACACAUGCAAGUCAACUUGACUGAAGGAGCAAUCUGACAGUAGAGUGGCGCAAGGGUGCGUAACGCGUAAGUAACUUGCCCCAAGGUAAGGAAUAACGUCGAGAAAUCGGCGCUAAUACCUCAUAAUGCAGCGGAUCCGCAUGGAUAUGUUGUUAAAGGUUUACCGCCUUGGGAUAGGCUUGCGUCUGAUUAGCUAGUUGGUGUGGUAACGGCACACCAAGGCUACGAUCAGUAACUGGUCUGAGAGGAUGAUCAGUCACACUGGAACUGAGACACGGUCCAGACUCCUACGGGAGGCAGCAGUGAGGAAUAUUGGGCAAUGCUCGAAAGAGUGACCCAGCAACGCCGCGUGGAGGAUGAAGGUAUUCUAUAUCGUAAACUCCUGUGAGAGCAG
This 417-nucleotide ribosomal RNA is filed under the name uncultured bacterium. RNAcentral describes it as "bacterial SSU rRNA". It matches the Rfam family "Bacterial small subunit ribosomal RNA", at positions 28 to 444 of the family's 1533-position model. The record is from RNAcentral.